GCUCUACCGUCCGGUGCGAGCCUGAUCCUCACCAUUUACUGCACGCCGGACCAGUGAUCUCCUGUGCCAGCUCCUACACCUCCUCUGGACUGUGUUUCAUGCCUAUGGCAUUCACCUGACUUGAGCCACCAGCUGUGCCUCUCCUACAACCUCAGUUGUAGCUCUAGCAGUCCAGUCAACCCAGCACUCCCCGCUGCCCUGAGAUCAGCUGAUGAGACCGGUUCUGACCACUCAUCAGUUCUGUAGUCAUUAAAAUACCUUUACCUGGUUAAACCUGA
Long non-coding RNA from Monopterus albus (swamp eel), 278 nucleotides. RefSeq lists it as uncharacterized. The transcript has 2 exons. NCBI's taxonomy places the organism in Eukaryota, Metazoa, Chordata, Actinopteri, Synbranchiformes, Synbranchidae. The record is from RefSeq and is a predicted model, not a curated record.